AUCGCUAAUACCGCAUAACGUCCGGAUGGGACAUCCUGUCUGGACCAAAGGAGAAAUCCGCUGAGAGAUGGGCUCGCGUCCAAUUAGCUGGUUGGCGGGGUAAAGGCCCACCAAGGCGACGAUUGGUAGCCGGACUGAGAGGUUGAACGGCCACAUUGGGACUGAGACACGGCCCAGACUCCUACGGGAGGCAGCAGUGGGGAAUAUUGCACAAUGGGGGGAACCCUGAUGCAGCGACGCCGCGUGAGGGAAGAAGGUUUUCGGAUUGUAAACCUCUGUCCUCUGUGACGAUAAUGACGGUAGCAGAGGAGGAAGCCACGGCUAACUACGUGCCAGCAGCCGCGGUAAUACGUAGGUGGCGAGCGUUAUCUGGAAUUACUGGGUGUAAAGGGAGCGUAGGCGGGGGAACAAGUUGAAUGUUUAAGAUAUGGGCUCAACUCAUAUAAGCGUUCAAAACUGUUUUUCUUGAGUGAAGUAGAGGUAAGCGGAAUUCCUAGUGUAGCGGUGGAAUGCGUAAAUAUUAGGAGGAACACCAGUGGCGAAGGCGGCUUACUGGGCUUUAACUGACGCUGAGGCUCGAAAGCGUGGGUAGCAAACAGGAUUAGAUACCCUGGUAGUCCACGCUGUAAACGA
This 633-nucleotide ribosomal RNA is filed under the name uncultured bacterium. Its description in RNAcentral is "bacterial SSU rRNA". It matches the Rfam family "Bacterial small subunit ribosomal RNA", at positions 159 to 809 of the family's 1533-position model. The record is from RNAcentral.